CGCAUUUUUAUUUGCUUGUGGCGGGAAGAUUCCUUAGGGUUCAACAAAACUCGUCCAUUAGCUACAAAAAUUCCAACAUUCUUCCUUGGAAAAAAAAUGUCUUUCCCUAAUGAGUUUCGAGCAAGUAAGCACCUUCUUCCUUCUACGUAUAUAUCAAUGUAUACUAAUUUGCGUUUUUUUUUAAGCCAUAAAUUUAAAUUUUUAUUUUUUUAGAAUUUUACAAUUGGAAUGAAAAGUUUGUUAUUUCACAUCGUGAAUUUUUAAUUUUGGUUAAAAAAAGUUAUUCAGUUUAUUGUUUGCUUAUAAUUUUCUUGAAUUGGUUAAUUAGGAGAUCGAGAAUGUAAAAUUAGAAUUUUUAGUUAUUCACUUAUUCUUGACAAUAAGGGGGUUUUAUUGUAUCUAUCGCUUCUGGGGUUUCUUUAUAUUAUUUGUGUCAAUCGAAUUCAUGAAUUGAAUUUUACACGGUUCCUGAAUUGUGUGUUGGCUAAAUUUUUUAAGUAGAUUUGGAAGCAUUGCCGAGUAUUUUGCAAAGAAAGUACUCAUUAUUGAGGGAUUUAGACAAAAGCCUACAAGGUACUAAUUCAUUUACAUGUUAAUGAUUUUUCGUUUAUUGUAGAAUCUCUUUCCUUGAUGUUAAGUGCAGUGUAGGUAGUAAAUAGCAGCGAACAGACGUCAUUCACUCACAUUUUAUGAUUUCCAUUAUUCUUCUUUGUUAUAUAUAUGUACUCUGGAAUUUGCGUCUAUUUGUUAUGCGGUUUUCAAAAUUCUGACAAUAAGAUGCAAAUGCAUGUAAAUGUAAUUUGUUGAUUUUCUGUAGAAUAAUUCAUAUGGCUUUUCUGAUGCAACUACCAGAGUCCAUUUGCAUACUGCUUACAAUGAAUUUUAGAAGGAAUCAAUGUAAAAGACAACUGAUUCAAUGUAACAUUAUUGAGUGAAAUAGAGGUUCUGAACGCUAUAAAAGGUCAUCAUAGAUGAAACAGGACAUCUGGAAUUCUACUUUGGCAGUAACUAGCGGAAUGAAAAUUCUUUUCUUGAAGUGAUCCUAGCUGAAUCUGAUGAAGAAAAGUUUUCAGCUCAUACAAUGAAGGUUUUUAACGUGUCUUGCCAUGUUUUUAUGGUUUUAUAAUUAAUUGUAAUACGUUAUUACUUCUUCCUUAUGUUUUACCCCCUUCGUCUUAUAUUUCUUUGGUUUACCUUAUCUUUAGAAUGCUU
Molecule: long non-coding RNA, 1212 nt
Filed under: Olea europaea subsp. europaea
Lineage: Eukaryota; Viridiplantae; Streptophyta; Magnoliopsida; Lamiales; Oleaceae
Source: RNAcentral